Molecule: ribosomal RNA, 501 nt
Filed under: uncultured bacterium
Lineage: Bacteria
Description: bacterial SSU rRNA
Rfam family: Bacterial small subunit ribosomal RNA
Source: RNAcentral
GACGAACGCUGGCGGCGUGGAUUAGGCAUGCAAGUCGAACGGUAUCAUCCUUUCGGGGGUGAGAGAGUGGCGAACUGGUGAGUAACACGUAGGUUAUCUACCCUCAAGACGGGGACAACCCAGGGAAACUUGGGCUAAUACCGGAUGUGAGCAACUUUUAGUUGUUUGAAAGGUGGCGUAAGCUAUCGCUUGGGGAUGAGCCUGCGUCCUAUUAGUUAGUUGGUGAGGUAACGGCUCACCUAGACAAUGAUAGGUAGGCGGCCUUAACGGGUGGUCACCCACACUGGGAUUGAGAUACGGCCCAGACUCCUACGGGAGGCAGCAGUCGAGAAUAGUCUACAAUGGUCGGAAGACUGAUAGUGCGACGCCGCGUGAACGAUGAAUCCCUUCGGGUGUAAAGUUCUUUUAUAUGUGAGCAGUGCUUCUUAUAUUAACAGUAUGGGGAAGAGAUAUUAGCAUAUGAAUAAGCAACGGCUAACUCCGUGCCAGCACGCCGACGUU